This 81-nucleotide ribosomal RNA is filed under the name Clostridia bacterium. RNAcentral's name for it is "partial 16S ribosomal RNA". It matches the Rfam family "Bacterial small subunit ribosomal RNA", at positions 1 to 81 of the family's 1533-position model. Lineage: Bacteria; Bacillati; Bacillota; Clostridia. The record is from RNAcentral.
UUUUUAGAGAGUUUGAUCCUGGUUCAGGAUUAACGCUGGCGGCGUGCAUAACACAUUCAAGUCGAACGGAGAAGACUGCUU